This 550-nucleotide ribosomal RNA is filed under the name uncultured bacterium. RNAcentral describes it as "bacterial SSU rRNA". It matches the Rfam family "Bacterial small subunit ribosomal RNA", at positions 567 to 1116 of the family's 1533-position model. The record is from RNAcentral.
GUUCGUAGGUGGUGCGGCAAGUUGGGAGUGAAAUCUCUGGGCUUAACUCAGAGGCUGCUUUCAAACUGCCGUGCUCGAGUGCGAGAGAGGUCAGUGGAAUUGCAGGUGUAGCGGUGAAAUGCGUAGAUAUCUGCAGGAACACCCGUGGCGAAGGCGGCUGACUGGAUCGCAACUGACACUGAGGAACGAAAGCUAGGGGAGCAAACAGGAUUAGAUACCCUGGUAGUCCUAGCCCUAAACCAUCAGAACUUGGGGUGGCCCGCGUAGGCGGGUCGUCCCGUAGCUAACGCGUUAAGUUCUGCGCCUGGGGAGUACGGUCGCAAGACUGAAACUCAAAGGAAUUGACGGGGGCCCGCACAAGCGGUGGAACAUGUGGUUCAAUUCGACGCAACGCGAAGAACCUUACCUGGGCUUGAACCGCUACUGACCAACGGUGGAAAUAUCGUCUUCCCGCAAGGGACAGUAGUAGAGGUGCUGCAUGGCUGUCGUCAGCUCGUGCCGUGAGGUGUUGGGUUAAGUCCCGCAACGAGCGCAACCCUUAUUCGUAGUU